UCCCCAUCCGACCCGUCUUGGAACACGGACCAAGGAGUCUAACAUGUAUGCGAGUCGGCGGGUGGAAAACCCGUAGGCGCAAGUAACCUAACAGGUGGGAUUUUUGCACCAUCGACCAACCUUGAUCUUCUGUGAAGGGUUUGAGUACGAGCAUACCUGUUGGGACCCGAAAGAUGGUGAA
RNAcentral lists this ribosomal RNA (181 nucleotides) under Chloropicon mariensis. Its description in RNAcentral is "partial Eukaryotic large subunit ribosomal RNA". It matches the Rfam family "Eukaryotic large subunit ribosomal RNA", at positions 637 to 830 of the family's 3401-position model. The record is from RNAcentral. Lineage: Eukaryota; Viridiplantae; Chlorophyta; Chloropicophyceae; Chloropicales; Chloropicaceae.